RNAcentral lists this ribosomal RNA (465 nucleotides) under uncultured bacterium. RNAcentral's name for it is "partial 16S ribosomal RNA". It matches the Rfam family "Bacterial small subunit ribosomal RNA", at positions 28 to 507 of the family's 1533-position model. The record is from RNAcentral.
GACGAACGCUGGCGGCGUGCUUAACACAUGCAAGUCGAACGGAAAGGCCCCUUUGGGGGUACUCGAGCGGCGAACGGGUGAGUAACACGUGAGUAACCUGCCCUUGACUUCGGGAUAACUUCAGGAAACUGGGGCUAAUACCGGAUAGGAAUCCUUGCUGCAUGGUGGGGGUUGGAAAGCUUCGGCGGUUUUGGAUGGACUCGCGGCUUAUCAGCUUGUUGGUGGGGUAGUGGCUUACCAAGGCUUUGACGGGUAGCCGGCCUGCGAGGGCGACCGGCCACAUUGGGACUGAGGUACGGCCCAGACUCCUAAGGGAGGCAGCAGUGGGGAAUAUUGCACAAUGGGCGGAAGCCUGAUGCAGCAACGCCGCGUGCGGGAUGACGGCCUUCGGGUUGUAAACCGCUUUCAGCAGGGGCGAAGCUUGUGGUGACGGUACCUGCAGAAGAAGCACCGGCUAACUACGUG